AUACUUACCUGGCAGGGGAGAUACCAUGAUCAUGAAGGUGGUUUUCCCAGGGCGAGGCUUGUCCAUUGCACUGCAGAUGUGCUGACCUCUGCGAUUAAAAAAAAAAAAAAAUACAAUGGUACCAGGGUUCACAAAAUUAAUUCUUUUCACAAUUCUGGGGAAGAUGGCCACAUUCUUGUUCAUG
This 184-nucleotide small nuclear RNA is filed under the name Heterocephalus glaber (naked mole-rat). Its description in RNAcentral is "U1 spliceosomal RNA (ENSHGLG00100037086.1)". It matches the Rfam family "U1 spliceosomal RNA". From Rfam's summary of the family: U1 is a small nuclear RNA (snRNA) component of the spliceosome (involved in pre-mRNA splicing). Its 5' end forms complementary base pairs with the 5' splice junction, thus defining the 5' donor site of an intron. The record is from RNAcentral. Lineage: Eukaryota; Metazoa; Chordata; Mammalia; Rodentia; Bathyergidae.